UAAACAAACUCAAGUCAUGAAAGGCAUUCACACGAGAAACCCGCUUCUGAGGAAGAGAAGCCAAGAGAGGCUGAUGGGUCUCCAGGGGCUGCUGGCCUGGGGACCAGCCCCUCCAGCUGGGGACCCCAAGCUCCGAACCCACAGCCUCACUUUCUCCCGUCAAACUCAGGUCCUGCGCUUCCCAGCUCUGUGGCCUUGGCGAGUGACUCCCCUCCUGGUGCCUGAGCCCCCUGCGUGGUGUCAGGCCCCUUAGUGAGACAGUGGCUGGCAAGGGCUAGCGCGUGUGGGCCGCCGGCGCUGCUGUUUUGGUCGUAGCCCGUUGCCAGCCCCUUCCAAGGGCUCAAGGUGUGGGCAAGCUGAGUGGCCCAUGUGGGUCCUAGCUGGCUCCUUGUCUGUGGCCUUUCACAGAGCCUCCGGGGGCUUCUCUUCCCUCCGUGUUCCAGGGUCAGGGCUUCUCCAUGCCCAGACCACUGGGGACUGGGGUGACAAGAGCCUGCUGCUGCUGCUGACUGUCUCUCGGCUGUCCCAGGUCCGUGCCACUGCCUGGAUGGAGAUGAGCAGAACUUGCUCCCAGGUGCAAGCUGCUGACACCGCAGCCUGGUUUCUGGAAAGGGUGGAGCAGUACCCACCCUGGCUCUCCUCUGUGCUGGGCUCACCGACAGGCCUCAGGGCCAGGCUCUGGGAUCAGCCCGAGCUGGGGUCCCUGCCAGCCAGGAGGGCAGGCCAGACCACUGUGGCGUCCGUGUCGCCAUGGGGUGGCUGUGGGUCAUCACCAUUCUGGGCUUGGCUUCUCCUCUGAAAGUCCAGCCUGCCCUGUUGGCCCUACAGGAGGAAGAUAGAGUGGGAACUGGGGGGAAAUGCUGCUGACUGGGGCAGUGGGAGGGUAAGUUCACCCCUUCUCCUCUGCGACAUCCCCGCACAUGCCUCCCUGUCCUCUGUGCCAGGCCUGUGCUGGCUACGUGACACGUGUUCUCUUUGGCCGAUUCUGCCCCCCACAAGGCCCUCAGGUCUCCUCCCCAUGUUCAUAGGACACUGAGACUUGAUGGCUUGAGCAACAUGACAAGGGCCGUGCAGUUAGCAAGUGGAGAAGCUGGGAUUUGAACCCAAGCUCAUGGCUUUAGAGCCGGGACUCCUCCCAGCACACGCAUGUUGCAGAUGGAGGAGAACCUCGGAUCUCCCGGAGUGCGGGGCCUGAGCUGCAGCCAGAGCUCCUGUGAGCCAGCUGGAGAAUGCGCGUGCAACGGUCCUUGUAAGAGAACGCGUGUAAAAUGCUGUUCUAUCCCGUCUGUGGCAACUGUUGAUGGCUCGCCGGCAGCCCUGGAUGGCGACUGCGCGACCUUACCGACCACCUUGCCGCUGUCCCUUGUGCGGAUAAAACGACUCGCUAACGAACACGGGCCUCUUGGGGCUCAGCUGUUGACUUCCUCACUGCCCUCGCUGUCUGGAUGGGGUGCUUCGUGUGGCGGGGGGCCCUGGCUUGUUCACCCAUGGGUCCCAGCGCCCCAUACGGGUUGAAUGACUGCAGGAGGAAACCACUCUCAUUCAGCAGAUCUUGUACAGGAUUUCGUUGUUUGACCCUCAAAUAUUGACAGAGAGGGAAAGUGUGCUAAAAUAGUUACGUUAUCUUUGUAUUGACUUUGAUAGUUGUCAAACCACUGUGAAUAAAUCUAAAAAACAACCAAUGGGACCUAGAAAAAGAAAAA
Molecule: long non-coding RNA, 1703 nt
Organism: Canis lupus familiaris (dog)
Lineage: Eukaryota; Metazoa; Chordata; Mammalia; Carnivora; Canidae
Exons: 2
Source: RefSeq, a predicted model, not a curated record